Molecule: ribosomal RNA, 477 nt
Filed under: uncultured bacterium
Lineage: Bacteria
Description: bacterial SSU rRNA
Rfam family: Bacterial small subunit ribosomal RNA
Source: RNAcentral
GACGAACGCUGGCGGCGUGCUUAACACAUGCAAGUCGAGCGGUAAGGCCCUUUCGGGGGUACACGAGCGGCGAACGGGUGAGUAACACGUGGGUGACCUGCCUUUAGCUCUGGGAUAAGCCUGGGAAACUGGGUCUAAUACCGGAUAUGACCCUAUGGCGCAUGUUGUGGGGUGGAAAGCCUUGUGCGGCUAGGGAUGGGCCCGCGGCCUAUCAGCUUGUUGGUGGGGUGAUGGCCUACCAAGGCGACGACGGGUAGCCGGCCUGAGAGGGCGACCGGCCACACUGGGACUGAGACACGGCCCAGACUCCUACGGGAGGCAGCAGUGGGGAAUCUUGCGCAAUGGGCGAAAGCCUGACGCAGCGACGCCGCGUGAGUGAUGAAGGCCUUAGGGUUGUAAAGCUCUUUUACCCGGGAAGAUAAUGACGGUACCGGGAGAAUAAGCCCCGGCUAACUUCGUGCCAGCAGCCGCCGUAAC